AGUGAACGCUGGCGGCGUGGAUUAGGCAUGCAAGUCGAGCGAGAACCGUAGCAAUACGGGGACAGCGGCGAAAGGGACAGUAAUGUGUAGGUACCUACCCCGAGGUCUGGGAUAGCUGCGGGAAACUGCAGGUAAUACCGGAUAAUGUCUUCGGACCAAAGGUGUGAUUCCACCUUGGGAGGGGCCUGCAUCCUAUUAGCGAGUUGGCGGGGUAAUGGCCCAACAAGGCAACGGUGGGUAGCGGGUGUGAGAGCAGGAACCGCGUCAUUGGGACUGAGACACUGCCCAGGAACAUACGGGUGGCUGGAGUCGAGGAUCUUCGGCAAUGGGCGAAAGCCUGACCGAGCGACGCCGCGUGCGGGAUGAAGGCCUUCGGGUUGUAAACCGCUGUCGUAGAGGAGGAAAUGUAGGGGGGUUCUCCCUUCUGUUUGACCUAUUCUAGGAGGAAGUACGGGCUAAGUUCGUGCCAGCAGCCGCCGUAA
RNAcentral lists this ribosomal RNA (482 nucleotides) under uncultured bacterium. Its description in RNAcentral is "partial 16S ribosomal RNA". It matches the Rfam family "Bacterial small subunit ribosomal RNA", at positions 30 to 523 of the family's 1533-position model. The record is from RNAcentral.